AUAAAUCUUAAUGAUGAAAACAAUAUUGUUCAUGAAGUAUUGAUAAUUUUGAAGAUUAAUAUAUUAUCUAACUCAAUCCUUGCAUCACAAAGGGAAUAGUUCUAGCAUAUAUUGAAAACUACUUUAAUGCACUCCAACUCGAUUAUGGUGACAACAAAAAGAGGUAACACCCUCACAGAAGCUCAACCUUGGUAUCACUUAGGUAUUGAGUAGUAUAUUUAUUUUUCAUUGUCCGUUACAGACAUUUAGUAAAUAUUCUAACCAAAAUUACCCGUGAGUGUGUGCCUCAGCACCUACGUACUCCAUACAUAGGCCUGCGAGGCCUCUAUUCAGCCUGCCUUGAAACAUGAACCAAUGACUCUGACAUGUGUAUGAGACAAUAGGCGAGCAAACUCGUACGGUGCAAUGAAGCAAAUUGGGGAUCCGUCACGGGUGCAUCGUGACUGACGUUGAUCUUCUAAGAAGGGUUCGAGUGAGAGCAUACCUGUUGGGACCCGAAAGAUGGUGAACGAUGCCUGAGCGGGGUGAAGCCAGAGGAGACUUUGGUGGAGGCCCAAAGCGAUACUGACGUGCAAAUCAUUUAUUUGACUUGGGUAUAUGGGCGAAAGAGUAAUCAAACCGUCUAGUAGUUAGUUAACUCCGAAGUUUCCCUCAGGAUAGUUGGAGCUCACACAUGAGUUAUAUAAGGUAAAGCUAAUGAUUAGAGGCAUCAAGGGCGUAAUGGCCUCAACCUAUUCUCUAAUAGGUAGGGCCGAGCGACUGCUUUGUUGAGCCGCACCACGGAAUCGAGAGCUCCAAGUGAGCCAUUUUUUUAGUAAACAGAACUAGCAAUGCGAGAUGAACCAGAAGCUCGGUUACGGUGCUCAACUGCACACUAACUAAAUCCCACAAAAGGGUGUUGUCAAUUAAGAGAACAUAAUGGUGAUCAUGAAAGUCUAACUCCACUAAGGAGUAUGUAACAACUCAUUAGUUGAAUCAACUUGCCCCGAAAAUGGAUGGCACUGAAGCACAUGACGUAUACCCGGCUGCUGGGGCAAGUGUCAAGCGCCGAUGAGUAGGAUGACGUAGCAGUAGCUGAAAAAGCUAUGACACAAGCAAGGACAGAGUGGCCGUCGGUUCAGAUCUUGGUGGUAGUCGCAAAUAUUCAAAUGAGAACUCUGAAGGCUGAAGGGGGAAAGCUUCCAUGUGAACGACACUUGCACAUGAGUUAGUCGAUCCUAAGAGUAGCGGGAAGCCCCGUCUGACAGCGCAUUUCACGGAUGAGCUUCAAAAGGGAGCCGGGUUAAAAUUUUUGAAUUGGGACACGGGGGUUGGCUGCAACGUUAGGAAGUCCACAGAUGUCACAGGAGGCAUCAAGAAGAGUUAUCUUUUUGUUUAACAGUCUGCCCACCCUAAAAACAACUCAAUUGGAGGUAAAGUUCAAUCGCUGGAAGAGCACUGCACGUUAUGUGGAGUCCAUUGCGCCUUUGGCGGCCCUUGAAAAUCCUAAGGCCCUAGUACCAACCAUAACUGGUCAUACUUAUAAUCGCAUUAGGUUUCCAAGGUGAACAACCUCUAGUUGAACAAUGUAGGCACGGGAAGUCGGCAAAAUGGAUCUAUAACUUCGGGAAAAGGAGUGGUGCUAAGGGCUGGGUGCGGGGGUCCCAGUUCCGAACCCAUCGACUAUCAGUGGACUGUUCGAGCUAGUCUUGCUGCAAGGGUAGGUCGCAGCGUGCCGGCCAGGGGAUGGAUUUCUGCCUAGUGCUUUAAAUGUCAAAGUAAAGAAAUUCAACUAAGCAUGGAUAAACAGCGGGAGUAACUAUGACUCUCUUAAGGUAGUCAAAUACCUUGUCAUCUAGUCCGACUUUGUGAAAUGAAAUGAGAGGUGUGGCAUAACUGGGAGCUUCAACUAAGUGAAAUACCACUACUUUUAACAUUAUUUUACUUAUUUCGUGAGUUAGAGGCAGGGUAUCGCCCUUCCUUUUGGACCUAAGGCUUGCUUCACUGGCCAAUCCAGGUAAGGACAUUAUUAGCUAGGGAGUUUGGCUGGGGUGACACAUAUAUUAAAAGAUAAAGCAUGUUUCCUAAAAUGAGCUCAACGAGAAUGGAAAUCUCAUGUGGAACAAAAGGGGAAAAGCUUGUUUGAUCUUGAUUUUGAGUACCAAUGCGAGCUGUGAAAGCAUGGCCUAAUGAUCCUUUAGACCUUUAGAACUCAAAGCUAGAGGUGUCCGAAUAGUUACCACAUGGAUAACUGGCUAGUGGCAGCCAAACAUUCACAACAAUAUUGCUUUUUGAUCCUUCAAUGUUGGAUCUUCCUAUCAUUAUGAAGUAGAAUUCACCAAGCAUUGCAUUGCUCACCCACUAAUAGGGAACGUGAGCUGGGUUUAGACCGUCGUAAGGCAUGUUAGUUUUACCCCACUGAUGAUAGUGUUGCGAUGGUAAAUCAACCUAAUAUGAGAGGAACCAUUAAUUUGCACAACUGACCAUUGUGCUCGGUUGAAAAGCUAGUGGCAUGAAGCUAAUGUGCACUAGAUUAUGACUGAAUGCGUCUAAGUCAGAAUAUGAGCCAGAAGCGAUGCAUGCUCUUGCCGCCCAAUUACCGACUUGCAGUAGGGACCUCAGCCCCUAAGGGCACGUGUCGUAGGCUGAGUCAGCGUGGCAAAUGCACCACAAUGACUACCUUGAAGUACAAUUCCU
This 2676-nucleotide ribosomal RNA is filed under the name Carnegiea gigantea. RNAcentral describes it as "eukaryotic LSU rRNA". It matches the Rfam family "Eukaryotic large subunit ribosomal RNA", at positions 437 to 3282 of the family's 3401-position model. Lineage: Eukaryota; Viridiplantae; Streptophyta; Magnoliopsida; Caryophyllales; Cactaceae. The record is from RNAcentral.